RNAcentral lists this long non-coding RNA (1224 nucleotides) under Marmota monax (woodchuck). The record is from RNAcentral. Lineage: Eukaryota; Metazoa; Chordata; Mammalia; Rodentia; Sciuridae.
AGAGAGUCGAGGGUUCAAAGCCCAAGUUUAAGUCCGGCUCAGUCCUUACAAACUGUGUAGCUACAGGUGAUCUACAAAGUGUCCCUCCAGAUCGCUUUCCUACCUGCAAAGUGAGGGCCGGCAGGAGCGGCUGAGACCCUGAACUUAAACUUGAGCCCCUCCACUCCUGCCCUGCCGUCCCCAGGCCGUUCUUCACCUGCCUCUGAAGCUUUCCUUCUUUCAGUCACUUUUCCCUGAGCCACACUUGAAGCUCUCACCAGGUUCCUGAGACUGAAGCCCUUCCAGGGAACAUUCCAGAGGGACCUCUGUCUCCCCACAGCCUCCACCAUGCGGCAGCCCUGGGAGCCUCUGACACACAAGGAGUUGAUCGAUUGCUCCCUGUCACCCGAAGUUCACAAGCUCCUCUGCUGGAAAGCUCCUCUGCAGAGGUCGUCUCCUUGUCCCCCAGGCCUCCUCUGACCCAUUAGGCUCUGUCAACUGGGUCUCCCUCAAGACCAAACACCGCGAAGUCAUCUCUGCAGCCUCCCUUCUUCCUAGGAAUUCUCGGGCAGGGACAGCACCCGUGUUCCCCCUUGACCCCCACCCAGCCCACUCUGCUGUGUUCUCCUGGGAGCUCCUCUGACCCCCAGGGCCUUUCAGAGAGCAAUCUUGGUGCCCAGCCGCUGUCCAUGGGCACAUCUCUUGAGGCACAUGGAGUUCUACCAAGCACCAAGCACGAAGCACCGUCAGCACCUGGCCCCACACCUUGUGGCAGCUGAACGUUGGUGGCCCUCAGUGAGUCUUCUGGUAUUCACGCCCUGCAUGUUGAUUCUGGGCUUGACCAGGGGACUUGCUGUGAUCCAGGGGACGUUCACAAGCAGAGCUUGCUACAAGUGCAAGGGUUGCUGAGGAACGUUUGUCCCACCCAGCCAGCCCCUAUACUGCAAAGCUCAGACCAGACCUCAGAGUGGCCACAGGACCUGCGGAGGGACAGAGAGAAUGGAGGCACCUGGCACAUCCCAGCCCCAAUGGGUUGACAGCCAGUCACAGAGCAGACCAAGCAAAGCAGAACCCCCCAGCAGAGCCCGUGGGCUCUCACUAUGAGCCAUUCAGUUUGGGGCCACUUUGUCACACGGGGAAGGAAUGCCUGCUAUUGUUCCCAGGCUGCAGAUGCUGGAUCUGAGGUUCGGGGAGAUUUCUUGAGGCUCCCGGUGUCACCAGUAAGCCAGGGUGGGCUGUGGCCCU